This 498-nucleotide ribosomal RNA is filed under the name uncultured bacterium. RNAcentral's name for it is "partial 16S ribosomal RNA". It matches the Rfam family "Bacterial small subunit ribosomal RNA", at positions 30 to 523 of the family's 1533-position model. The record is from RNAcentral.
AUUGAACGCUGGCGGCAUGCUUUACACAUGCAAGUCGAACGGUAACAGGUCUUCGGAUGCUGACGAGUGGCGAACGGGUGAGUGAUACAUCGGAACGUGCCUAGUAGUGGGGGAUAACUACUCGAAAGAGUAGCUAAUACCGCAUGAGAUCUACGGAUGAAAGCAGGGGACCUUCGGGCCUUGUGCUACUAGAGCGGCUGAUGGCAGAUUAGGUAGUUGGUGGGGUAAAGGCUUACCAAGCCUGCGAUCUGUAGCUGGUCUGAGAGGACGACCAGCCACACUGGGACUGAGACACGGCCCAGACUCCUACGGGAGUCAGCAGUGGGGAAUUUUGGACAAUGGGCGAAAGCCUGAUCCAGCAAUGCCGCGUGCAGGAUGAAGGCCCUCGGGUUGUAAACUGCUUUUAUACGGAACGAAAAGCCUGGGGCUAAUAUCCCCGGGUCAUGACGGUACCGUAAGAAUAAGCACCGGCUAACUACGUGCCAGCCGCCGCGGUAA